This 468-nucleotide ribosomal RNA is filed under the name uncultured bacterium. RNAcentral describes it as "partial 16S ribosomal RNA". It matches the Rfam family "Bacterial small subunit ribosomal RNA", at positions 28 to 507 of the family's 1533-position model. The record is from RNAcentral.
GACGAACGCUGGCGGCGUGCUUAACACAUGCAAGUCGAACGGAAAGGCCCUGCUUUUGUGGGGUGCUCGAGUGGCGAACGGGUGAGUAACACGUGAGUAACCUGCCCUUGACUUUGGGAUAACUUCAGGAAACUGGGGCUAAUACCGGAUAGGAGCUCCUGCUGCAUGGUGGGGGUUGGAAAGUUUCGGCGGUUGGGGAUGGACUCGCGGCUUAUCAGCUUGUUGGUGGGGUAGUGGCUUACCAAGGCUUUGACGGGUAGCCGGCCUGAGAGGGUGACCGGCCACAUUGGGAAUGAGAUACGGCCCAGACUCCUACGGGAGGCAGCAGUGGGGAAUAUUGCACAAUGGGCGGAAGACUGAUGCAGCAACGCCGCGUGCGGGAUGACGGACUUCGGGUUGUAAACCGCUUUCGCCUGUGACGAAGCGUGAGUGACGGUAAUGGGUAAAGAAGCACCGGCUAACUACGUG